Molecule: ribosomal RNA, 443 nt
Filed under: uncultured bacterium
Lineage: Bacteria
Description: partial 16S ribosomal RNA
Rfam family: Bacterial small subunit ribosomal RNA
Source: RNAcentral
CCUACGGGUGGCAGCAGUGGGGAAUAUUGGGCAAUGGAGGCAACUCUGACCCAGCAACGCCGCGUGAAUGAUGAAGGUCUUCGGAUUGUAAAGUUCUUUUCUAAGGGAAGAAGAAAGUGACGGUACCUUAGGAAUAAGCCUCGGCUAACUACGUGCCAGCAGCCGCGGUAAUACGUAGGAGGCAAGCGUUAUCCGGAAUGACUGGGCGUAAAGGGUGCGUAGGUGGUUUGACAAGUUGGUAGCGUAACUCCGGAGCUCAACUUCGGAACUACUACCAAAACUGUUGGACUCGAGUGCAGGAGGGGUAAGUGGAAGUCCCGGUGUAGCGGUGGAAUGCGUAGAUAUCGGGAGGAACACCAGAGGCGAAGGCGACUUACUGGACUGUAACUGACGCUGAGGCUCGAAAGCGUGGGGAGCAAACAGGAUUAGAUACCCUGGUAGUC